CGCUAUGGCGGAGUUGUCGGUUUCCGCAAGGAAUUGAAAGGGAAUCCGCCGGGGCAUCAGCCCCGAACCGGAACUGCCCCCGCAACUGUAGGCGGCGAGCAGGGUGCGAAACAGCCACUGUGGCCCAUGCCAUGGGAAGGCCGCAUCCCUGCCGUGACCCGUCAGUCAGGAGACCUGCCGACGCGAUGACCAACCC
Molecule: non-coding RNA, 196 nt
Filed under: Paracoccus denitrificans
Lineage: Bacteria; Pseudomonadati; Pseudomonadota; Alphaproteobacteria; Rhodobacterales; Paracoccaceae
Also listed under: 1 other name
Source: RNAcentral